AGAACGAACGCUGGCGGCGUGGAUAAGACAUGCAAGUCGAACGCGACUUACCGCGAUAGCAAUAUCAUGGUAAGUUGAGUGGCGAAAGGGUGCGUAACACGUGGGAAUUUACCAAAAAGUGGGGAAUAGCUCGGCGAAAGCCGAAUUAAUACCGCAUGUGGUCGCAAGACCAAAGCCGGGGACCGCAAGGCCUGGCGCUUUUUUGAGAAGCCCGCGGCCCAUCAGCUAGUUGGCGGGGUAACGGCCCACCAAGGCUAUGACGGGUAGCUGGUCUGAGAGGACGACCAGCCACACUGGAACUGAGACACGGUCCAGACACCUACGGGUGGCAGCAGUCGAGAAUUUUUUCACAAUGGACG
Molecule: ribosomal RNA, 359 nt
Filed under: uncultured bacterium
Lineage: Bacteria
Description: SSU rRNA
Rfam family: Bacterial small subunit ribosomal RNA
Source: RNAcentral